This 446-nucleotide ribosomal RNA is filed under the name uncultured bacterium. Its description in RNAcentral is "partial 16S ribosomal RNA". It matches the Rfam family "Bacterial small subunit ribosomal RNA", at positions 338 to 795 of the family's 1533-position model. The record is from RNAcentral.
CCUACGGGAGGCAGCAGUCGAGAAUCAUUCACAAUGGGGGAAACCCUGAUGGUGCGACGCCGCGUGGGGGAAUGAAGGUCUUCGGAUUGUAAACCCCUGUCAUGUGGGAGCAAAUUAAAAAGAUAGUACCACAAGAGGAAGAGACGGCUAACUCUGUGCCAGCAGCCGCGGUAAUACAGAGGUCUCAAGCGUUGUUCGGAAUCACUGGGCGUAAAGCGUGCGUCGGCUGUUUCGUAAGUCGUGUGUGAAAGGCGCGGGCUCAACCCGCGGACGGCACAUGAUACUGCGAGACUAGAGUAGUGGAGAGGGAACCGGAAUUCUCGGUGUAGCAGUGAAAUGCGUAGAUAUCGAGAAGAACACUCGUGGCGAAGGCAGGUUCCUGGACAUUAACUGACGCUGAGGCACGAAGGCCAGGGGAGCGAAAGGGAUUAGAUACCCCGGUAGUC